UCGUUUUUCCCCUUUUCCUCUCAAAACCCUUUCUUUUUCCCGCAGCCCACAAAACCUGUCUCAGAAAAACGAUGAUCUCGGACUCAUUCACCGUUGGAUCGUCGUGAAAUUUGAUCACCACGUUCGCAACCAAAUUUCUAACAUUCUCACCGUUGGGAAUUGAAAAAUCAUGUCUGACCUUAGAGGAAAACCCUUCGCAUUGUAGCUUUUUAUUUUCCCGUAGAAACCCAAAACUGUCUCGGUAAAACUACGAUCCCGGUUUUGUUAACCGUUGGAUUUUCAUGAAAUUUGGAUAUGUUGCUCGAAAUUCAAUUGCGCACACUCUCACCGUUGGGAUUUGCGAGAUAAUAUUCGUGGUGGGAGAAAAAGGAAUCGCAUGAAGACAGUACAAGUGGAGGCUUCAAUCUCUUCUUCGUCUCUCCCUGACGUUCGAGAAUUCUAUCGGAGCAGUCGGAGGAAAAACUUGAGGAAUCUUAGGGAACCGUUAGAGAUGAUGCUAUAGCGGCUGAAGACACGUGAGCCCGCUUAGAGGUAAGGGAUGAGUUAUUCACAAUUGGGAAUUAGUGAGAACAUGUGUAGGGAUCCUUAGAGAUAUCAAUUGGAAUGAGUUUUGGGGUGUUUUUGCAAUUUUCAUUUUAUCCUUAUAAUUAUUACAGUGAAUUAUAUAUGUUUGACAGACCAAUUCUUGUGGAAUUGAUAUGCUAUUGUGUUGAGCGUGAAUCCUAUAAAUCGAGUACUUUUUCUAAUUAAUAUGAAUUGAUGAAAUAAAGGAGAAAUUUAGAGAGAGAUAUUGAUUUUGUAUUUUCUCUUUUUCUUGUUGUUUAGGUUUUUAUAUAUAAUUUAAAAAUUUAAUAUCAUAAUUAAAAUUGAUCAAAGUGUUCAUAUAAUUAUUUAGAAUUUGUGCAUUGAAAGCUUACUUUGUAAUUUGUGAUUCAAUAUGAUGUAUGCUAGCUUAUAUAUAUAUAAAGGUUGUUAUUUAUAUUAAUAAUUUAUGUAAAUAAUAUUGUAGAGUGUUAUAGUAUGAUUCCAAAAAUUAUUAAGUGUUGGAGUAUGAGAAUAUUAUGGUUAAAUUUGAUGAACAUGUGUAUGUUGUACCUUAUGAAUAUCAUUAGGAAUGUUAUGAGAUGGUUGAUGUGAUGUUAUGAGAUGUUAAAGUUUGGACAUGAUAUUCGAUUGUAAAUAAGUGAAUGUGUUUAACACUUGAUGUUACAUUAAUUAUAUCGUGAGCUACGAAUUAUACAAUAACCCGACCAAUGUUUAUGCGCAGUGUUAAAGAGAAAGUGUAGGUUCCUAGUUAGGAACCAGUGUUAAAUUGUAGCGCAAUUGUAUUAAACAUGUUUGAAACAUGAGUGUGAGGUCGUGGUAUUGUAUAGUUCAUGAGCAGUGCUUAUAAAUGAAAUAUGUGAUGAAUUGUGGAAUAAUAUGUUGCCUUGAGAUUAUAAUAUUGUUAUUGAGAUUGAGUAAAAGUGUAAAGUAGAACAGGUGUUGAAUUGUGAGAUACGUGAAAACAUGUGAUGGUGGAUUGUGACAUUAUGAGAUGUGAAAUUGUGAAUAAGUUUUGGUUGUGAAUAAAUGUGUGAUUAAUUCUUGAUGUGACAUUAUUUGUGUUGUAAGCUGUGAAUUGUACAAUAACCCGACCAGUGUUUAUGCGCAGUGUUAAAGAGAAAGUGUAGGUUCUUGUUUAGGAACCAGUGUUAAAUUGUAGCGCAAUAUGUUGUACGUGUUUAAGACACGAGUGUGAGGUCGUGGGUAUUGUAUAAUUCACUAGCAGUGUCUGUGUGCUAAAAUGAUUUUAGGGGUUGGACCUGAAUCAGGAGGGAGAGGCCCUGACGGACUCUUCGGAGUGUAGGCCUUGGGGGUCACCGGGUUUGAGUGCUCCUUUAAGCCUAUGCUGAUCCCAUAUGGUUGGAGCAUUCUCGCAAAACAUCGUGACCCUGACUGGUCUCCCUAUGAUCUUACUUAGUGAGAGUGACCUGACAAACCCAUUGUGUGGUGUGUCUUGUUAUGUACUCCUAAGCGCCCCAGGGUGGUUUUUCACUGACAUGGUACCACAUUGCAUAUAGGCUUGAGUCUUAGCAUAACUGUCUCAUGCGCUUGCUAAUUGUUUAUUAUGAAAUUGAGGUGUUAUUAUGUCUUGAUCAGAGCGUGUGAUUCCUAUGUAAUGUGAUUGAUGAUUGAAAAGUGUGAUUGAUUGAUGAAAAGUGAAUUUUGAAUGACAAAGUGGUGGAAUUACGUGAAUUACGUGUAAGUAAGUUUUAUUUGGUUUAUAUGAUAUGUAUAUCUAGUUGUCUUGUUUCUCUAUUAGUUAGGAAUGUGAUAACUCACUCCCAGUUUAUUGUUUGUGUUUGGAUCCUGUGAUGAUCUUGAACUCUGUGUUCGGGGGAGCAGAUGACUAGGUGAACUGCUUUAAGGAAUAUUGUGCUGAAGGACGUCGAGACACAACGCUCUGAUAGGAUGUGACAUUGGGAUAUAGGUUUUUAUAUUAAUUGUAUGAAGUCUCAGACGGCCUUGUUCGAGCCGAUGACUUUAUUAUUUAUUCGGACAAGUUUGAAUAUGAUGUAGAAGAAAG
Molecule: long non-coding RNA, 2569 nt
Filed under: Glycine max (soybean)
Lineage: Eukaryota; Viridiplantae; Streptophyta; Magnoliopsida; Fabales; Fabaceae
Description: long non-coding RNA (GMAX_LNC000843)
Source: RNAcentral